Molecule: ribosomal RNA, 521 nt
Filed under: uncultured bacterium
Lineage: Bacteria
Description: bacterial SSU rRNA
Rfam family: Archaeal small subunit ribosomal RNA
Source: RNAcentral
AACCUCCGCAAUGUGAGAAACCGCGACGGGGGGAUCCCAAGUGCCAUUCUUAACGGGAUGGCUUUUCAUUAGUGUAAAGAGCUUUUGGAAUAAGGGCUGGGCAAGACCGGUGCCAGCCGCCGCGGUAACACCGGCAGCUCUAGUGGUAGCAGUUUUUAUUGGGCCUAAAGCGUCCGUAGCCGGUUUAAUAAGUCUCUGGUGAAAUCCUGUAGCUUAACUGUGGGAAUUGCUGGAGAUACUAUUAGACUUGAGACCGGGAGAGGUUAGAGGUACUCCCAGGGUAGAGGUGAAAUUCUGUAAUCCUGGGAGGACCGCCUGUUGCGAAGGCGUCUAACUGGAACGAUUCUGACGGUGAGGGACGAAAGUUAGGGGCGCGAACCGGAUUAGAUACCCGGGUAGUCCUAACUGUAAACGAUGCGGACUUGGUGUUGGGGUGGCUUUGAGCUGCUCCGGUGCCGAAGGGAAGCUGUUAAGUCCGCCGCCUGGGAAGUACGGUCGCAAGACUGAAACUUAAAGGAAUU